Molecule: long non-coding RNA, 329 nt
Filed under: Elaeis guineensis (African oil palm)
Lineage: Eukaryota; Viridiplantae; Streptophyta; Magnoliopsida; Arecales; Arecaceae
Description: long non-coding RNA (EGUI_LNC070335)
Source: RNAcentral
GCCAAAUAAUUAUGUGACAUCAUAUUUAUUUUGGGAAUUAAGGAGAGGAGUCCUUCUCCUUUACUUAUCUUAAUUUCUUUACAUCUUCCACACAUCCCUUAUUUUUGUGUGCCAUCAGAUGGUGCCUUGGGAUAUGGGGUGUGGAAGAGGAAAAGGAGUCCUUCUCUAGGAAGGAACUCCAUGCGAAAAUAGAUAAGGGACGCCCACUUUUUUAUGUGAUGAAAUUAAAGAGUCCAUUUCAUAACAAACUCUUAAUUCUUUCUUUUAAUUCUCCAUGCAUUUCUUAAAUCCUCGUGACAUAAGAUGUCUCUUGGGAUUAUGGGGCACAG